AGUAAAAUUGAGUUACUUUAACAUAAGUCGAUUUCGCAACAAAAAUAUCGAAAAUGAAGAUAAGUAUAAUUAUUUUUUUGGUUUUUGCAAUUUUUGCAGCAAUUAUUGGUGCAACUUCAAACCAUGGCAAAGAAGAAAAGAGACUAUUCGGAGGUUUAAACAAGAAAAUCUGUGACAAAGUAUGUUCUGUGAUAACAUCUGUAUUUCCCAUGGGAAGAAGAAAGUGAUCCAGCCCAGAAACGUAGAAUACACACCAUUAAUUAAAAUUAUGGUUGUAUUCAGUUUAGUGAAAAGUGUAGCGCAUCUAGUUUUAUUUUGUUAAUCAAUAUUGCGGCUUAUAUUUGUAUUCUUUGUUUUAAUUGUUUUGAAAGCAAUAUCUGUACUUUACUUUUUUAAUAAAUGAGGACCACAAAUCAGAAUUAUAAAA
Molecule: long non-coding RNA, 427 nt
Organism: Onthophagus taurus
Lineage: Eukaryota; Metazoa; Arthropoda; Insecta; Coleoptera; Scarabaeidae
Source: RefSeq, a predicted model, not a curated record